AAAAGGGGUAAAAGAAUUGGAUAAGGGCUUGGAGUGACAGUCUGACAACCCAGUGGGAUAGCGCAGAACUCAAGAAAGGUUCAAGCCGGCCAGGCCUUCUGGAUUUUGCUUGCCUCUUAGGAUAGAAACUAAGUUCAGCUAGAAAAGGACCUUAGCCUUCAGAGGUUGAGGAACCAACUGUAAAAAUAGAGGUAGCUACUGUAAGUGUAAAGUUACGUGGGCAUCCAAGAAUUCAAAGGGAAAGUGGAGAAUAGACUGAAAAACACUGGAGAAGAAUGAGCAACUUCUGGAUUUCUAAUUGUAAUGCUUGAGUAAGUUUACAAGUGAAGAGGUUUAGGAAACCUGUACCAAGUCAAGAGAGAGCUGACUAGUUGAAAGAAUUCCACAAACAAGCUUCAGCAGCCAUGUCAGAUGUGGGCCAAAGCAUUAUGUUCCUGGUGUCCAAUUCCGUGCCUUCAGCUUCUCCCAAUGCUUCAUGGCUGUGAAACAUCUUUAGCCUUUAAAGAGACAAUAGUUAAGUGACAAUUCCUGCUUCUUUACCAAAGUUAAUUUCUUUAUUAUCUUGUUUAUUAUAUUAGGGGAUGGAAGGUUUGAGGAAUAUGGAAACACCUGGUAACAUGCUCAGUGGCAGGGCACUUCAGUUUUUUAUCGUUCUUGUGCUGAGAAGGACCAGUACAACUCUCCAGAAAGCAAAGAUACCUCUUAUACAAAGCCAGUGGUGCUCAAUCUUUUGGACCUGGAUGAAUGACAUGAGGCAGGUCUGCAGGCUGGAUCCUGCAGGUGGAGUCAGUCCGCAGGCUAGAUCCCGGAUGGGGUGGGCUCAUGGGGUCAGUCUGCAGGAGGAUCAGCCUGGCCCUCUGUGCUGGAUGCAGCCCAUAGGUUGAGUACUGCUGAAUUAUACUAUUUGGCAAGAUAGAAAAUAUCAUAAGUGGUAGCAAACCUGAGAGAGCGAUUGUUUUGCAACAUUGAAUGGUAUUUUUAAUAAACUAGAGUGUUUGUAGAAGCUAUUUUUAGAAAUAAGAUGUUGAAUAGAAAGUAUUUGCUGAUGUACAAUUUUAAGCCCAUUAAAGCUGAACAACUAAAAAACA
Alligator mississippiensis (American alligator) is the source of this 1088-nucleotide long non-coding RNA. RefSeq lists it as uncharacterized. NCBI's taxonomy places the organism in Eukaryota, Metazoa, Chordata, Crocodylia, Alligatoridae. The record is from RefSeq and is a predicted model, not a curated record. The transcript is spliced from 2 exons.